GCACUGCUGAAGAGUCCCAUACUAGGACGAAAUGACUGUCCAGUGC
Schistosoma margrebowiei is the source of this 46-nucleotide non-coding RNA. Lineage: Eukaryota; Metazoa; Platyhelminthes; Trematoda; Strigeidida; Schistosomatidae. The record is from Rfam.